Molecule: ribosomal RNA, 377 nt
Filed under: uncultured eukaryote
Lineage: Eukaryota
Description: partial 18S ribosomal RNA
Rfam family: Eukaryotic small subunit ribosomal RNA
Source: RNAcentral
CAAUAGCGUAUAUUAAAGUUGUUGCAGUUAAAAAGCUCGUAGUUGGAUCUCGGGGUGGCCUGGCUGGUCCGCCGCAAGGUGAGUACUGGUCAGCCGCCCUUCCUCUCGAAAGCCCCGACUGCUCUUUACUGCAGUGGUCGGGUAGUUCGGGACGUUUACUUUGAAAAAAUUAGAGUGUUCAAGGCAGGCUAUCGCCUGAAUACAUUAGCAUGGAAUAAUGGAAGAGGACCUCGGUCCUAUUUUGUUGGUUUCUAGGGCCGAAGUAAUGAUUAAGAGGGACAGUUGGGGGCAUUCGUAUUUAAUUGUCAGAGGUGAAAUUCUUGGAUUUAUGAAAGACGAACUAGUGCGAAAGCAUUUGCCAAGGAUGUUUUCAUUAA